This 461-nucleotide ribosomal RNA is filed under the name uncultured Streptococcus sp. RNAcentral's name for it is "bacterial SSU rRNA". It matches the Rfam family "Bacterial small subunit ribosomal RNA", at positions 919 to 1382 of the family's 1533-position model. The record is from RNAcentral. Lineage: Bacteria; Bacillati; Bacillota; Bacilli; Lactobacillales; Streptococcaceae.
ACCCGCGACAAGCGGUGGAACAUGUGGUUUAAUUCGAAGCAACGCGAAGAACCUUACCAGGUCUUGACAUCCCGAUGCUAUUCUAGAGAUGAAAGUUACUUCGGUACAUCGGUGACAGGUGGUGCAUGGUUGUCGUCAGCUCGUGUCGUGAGAUGUUGGGUUAAGUCCCGCAACGAGCGCAACCCCUAUUGUUAGUUGCCAUCAUUCAGUUGGGCACUCUAGCGAGACUGCCGGUAAUAAACCGGAGGAAGGUGGGAUGACGUCAAAUCAUCAUGCCCCUUAUGACCUGGGCUACACACGUGCUACAAUGGUUGGUACAACGAGUUGCGAGUCGGUGACGGCGAGCUAAUCUCUUAAAGCCAAUCUCAGUUCGGAUUGUAGGCUGCAACUCGCCUACAUGAAGUCGGAAUCGCUGGUAAUCGCGGAUCAGCUACGCCGCGGUGAAUACGUUCUCGGGCCUU